Long non-coding RNA from Prunus avium (sweet cherry), 627 nucleotides. RefSeq lists it as uncharacterized. Lineage: Eukaryota; Viridiplantae; Streptophyta; Magnoliopsida; Rosales; Rosaceae. The record is from RefSeq and is a predicted model, not a curated record.
GGGGCGGUUUGAGAGCUCGUCGGAGAGGCGAUUUCCGGCGGCUGCUGCGGCGGCGUACGGUGGAGGUGAUCGACACCACCAACCCAGAUAGGAAGCCUGCUAUCUUGUGAACAUAACCCAAGAAGAAUCGGAGCCAUCGGAGGUGCGGUGAAGGCUGGGCGACGCCGCGAAGUUGGUUCGUCAAUAGUGAAAUCAGCAACUUCAACCGGCGGUUUGAGCCACUUACACUUCGAAUUGGACCUCGAGGUACUGUUGGAGUUUGAGUUGCUCGUUGAGGUUUGAGAUUGAGGAUUCGUUAAGUUGUUGAAGACGCAGCUUGGACGAAAGGGGAAAAUCCUGCAGGUGGUAGAGACGGUGAGCAGGAGAAUUAAGGUGAGGAGCAGGAGGCUCAUUGGUGGUUCCACAGACUGUAAAGUGUGGUGUGAGAGUGUUGGUGAGUGUUAGACUUCCGCUGUGUGAAAUAAGCUCUGAGGAGCAUAUUAUGUAAAAUGAUGAUUGUUCAUUUAUUAUGUGAGUUCGUAAUGUAAUAUUUGACUCAGAAGAGUUGAGUCAUUAUUGACAUUGUGGUUCGGAACAGUGGUGUUGUAUCAAGAAAGAAAAGUUUAAAUUUCUAGGUACUUUUGUUGA